This 466-nucleotide unclassified non-coding RNA is filed under the name Hevea brasiliensis (rubber tree). Lineage: Eukaryota; Viridiplantae; Streptophyta; Magnoliopsida; Malpighiales; Euphorbiaceae. The record is from RNAcentral.
GGGAUAAACUCAUGGCAACUGCAACUGUGGCUACUGCAGCUGGUGCAGCUGCUCUUUUGUACUAUACAUUGAACCGGAAGUUGCAGUCAAGUACGUCUCAUGACGAUGACGAAAAUGAGAAUCUCAAUGUGGCAAGUAAUGUUCCUUUGGGAAUUGAACGAGUAUCGCAUAGGCUAGUUCAAGCCCCUGCUACAUGGUUGGAGACUAUCUCAACUUUGGCAGAGACACUUAGGUUUACUUACUCUGAGACUCUAGGAAAGUGGCCCAUUGGGGACUUGGCAUUUGGGAUCAACUUUCUAUUAAAGAGGCAGGGAAACUUGCAUGUUGGCAGCGUGUUUGGUGGUAAAGACAGCAUACAGCUGAAAGGGUCAGAAAUAACGAGUGAACUCAGAGAUCUCUUAAACCUGCUGACCUUGUGUUGGCAUUUCUCCAAAAAACCAUUUCCUUUAUUUUUGGAGGAGACAGG